Molecule: long non-coding RNA, 6771 nt
Organism: Anguilla rostrata (American eel)
Lineage: Eukaryota; Metazoa; Chordata; Actinopteri; Anguilliformes; Anguillidae
Exons: 6
Source: RefSeq, a predicted model, not a curated record
GUGAGCCACAACAAUUGGGUGCACAGAACUGUGGGACCCCAGCAGCACCAACUACAACAACUCAUCCCCCCUCCCCCUAACCCACAUCUCACUGCCUUUCCGUCUUCAGCUUUAAGAACUGAAACAUAAGAAGAAAAAAACAGAAACAAGACAGAAAGGCCAUAUGAAGGAGGAGAGAUGUGAAGCAGGAGAGAGAAGGGGGCAGGAGAUGGCCAAGGGGAGGAGAUCUUCAGGAGCAAUGGGAGUGGUUGUACGUGUAAACAGAGGAUUCAUUGAAAUCGGUUACAGUGCCUGUUCAACCUGAAACGUCUCUGGAGCAGCACGUUUUUGUCACACCACAGAAAAUGACUCUAUGGUCUGGGCCCUGGAAUGCUGAGCGCUGUCACCUAGUGACAUCACAGGCUGAGCUGUGGGUGUGGGGAGGCGGACCACCUACUGAAGCUGGAAUCUGGGGGCUGACUGAUUGGGCCAUCAGCAGGGGAGUCAGAGGUGAGAGGGCCCAGCGUUUUCUUGGCGGCGGACCUCCAGUGCUGACAGGACUUGGCGUUACGCCCGGACGGCUGCGUGGGGAAUAAUAUCUGCCAGAACCUGACCUCGCAGCCCCAGGGUUUGAAUCCCGCCCUUUAAAUCUUCAGCGCGUUCUGAGAAACAACACCAGUUACAUAAUUACAAAGAAUGCCUGGAUUAAACACUGAAAUAGCACGUUAAAAGGUUACGGAAUGGUCACGACCCAAACUCGGAGUGGAUCGCUUUCGAAUUCUCUGGCUUCUGGGCUUCCAUCCAUGACCAGACGAGCAACUUUCCAGGGUUCGAGAGGAGCAGAGACUGCUUCGUGGCACAGGUUUGACCUCGGAGAGCAGGAAGGAUUCUGCAUGGGUGCGCAGAACUACAGAGGAACAAGCAGUUACGUCUCUGACUGCAUUCAGACGGGCUAUGGGCUGGAAGGGGUAACGAAAACAUGUUCUUUGCUGACAAAAAGGGAAAUGGAAUGUAUUUACAAGUGCUGAGGACUGGGUGUCCAGUAGAUGGCUGUGAGACUUUGGGAACGUAUGGACUAUGGACGUAAAACUGUUAAGUGCCCCAUCUGCAAGCUCAUAUCUGAGAUCCCAUAAUCGGGAUAGUGUUAAUCCAGCAAUUUAUGAUUUUCAAAAUAUUCUUAUAAAAAUAAAAGAAGAGAAAUGUAUGUGUGCACAGACUUAAAUGUACGCAUAGGUGCCCACAUACACGCACACAUGCACACACACACACACACACACACACACACUCCUAUAAACAUGAUAUUGUGUACAAACAUCCACAUAUGAAAACAGUUCAAAUGUACACAUAUGCAUGACCUCUCUCUGUCUCUCUCUCUCCCUGUGUGUGUGGGGGGGGGGUAGUGGGUGGUGGUGUUGUCAUAGAUUAGUUGAAGCAGAAAUAUUUGAGCUGCACGACGUCCCUUGUGAAGCCCUGCCAAAGGGAGCAUAUCGCCACGGACACCGUCUGAGUUCCCAGAAUCCUGUGGGGUCUCGGCCCACUUGCGUUCCACCUCUUAAAAAGGAGAAGUAAAAGGACGAUGUUGAAUCAUGACAGAAAUAUCACCUGGAGUUUUCAUACGAGGGUGCCAGUGAUCGAGGAGUGGCCUGGCUGUAACUGGGACCGUGGGCGUUAAUGUCCAAAUCAAAUUCUCCCGGGUGGUCUUUGCCAUUGUGGACAAACUGGAUCCAUUUCACUGCUGAAUGCUGAUCGCAAUCAUCCUUCAGAUCCCCCGACCACUUUUAUUUGCAUUUAUUUUUACAGAGCGAGAGAAGCCACAGUACACUGGCUGUUUACAGACUUACGGCCUGGUUUUACUGUAAUGGCUAGGAAUUUAAAGAGAGAUGUUUUCACCCACUGAAACAUUACACUCAGCUGUUAUCAAUUUGUGCAGGACAUUUUGUGUGUGUGUGUGUGUGUGUGUGUUUCCAAUAAUGAAAUCUCACUCAACAGCUGUAGGUCUCCGACUCAAAAUAUUGCUGUCCGGCCAAGCACACCAGCACACUGCACUCUUUGUAGGCCAGGGUUUUUUUUCUUUUUAAGAGAAAAUGAGAAACACUGCAAUAACUUAUUAUUUCUUUUUCUUUUAGAUUUGGUUAUGAUAAUAUGGAGAAUGUUGUGCAUGUUCAUAAUUAUGGCUUAAUUCCUCAGGUGCUCCACUUCCUCAUAUAGUUCCCAUUCCAUUUUUCAUUGCUGAAUAAGUGAAAUACAUUCCAGAAAACUGCCUGCCAUUUGCUUCAGUAGGAAAUAUUCUCCCAUUACUUGACCAUAUUAAUCUAGGUUUAGAAAAUAAUAAUAGCAGAAAAUGAUGGAGAAUAAUAGAUGGUAGGAAUAAUAAUAAUAAUAAUAAUAAUAAUAAUAAUAAUAAUAUGCUGGCAGUGUCUGAUCUCAGGUGGAGCUGAAGUGUCGUUCAGGUGCACAGCCUGGGCCCUGUUUGCACAACAAGUGUUUUGUGCAUUUCCCAGCAUUAUGCAGGGACAUUAAGUGUGCUUGCGUUUGUGUACACACACAGACACACAUCACAAACACACAAACACACGCAUGCACACAAGCACAAACACACACACACACACACACACACACACAAGCACAUACACACGAACACAAACACACACCCACUCUCACAUUCAUAUAAGGCUUAGCAUAUGUACACAUAUUAUUUUGUUAUACUGUAUCAAAUAUACACCUGAUAGAUGUUCGUUACAAUGGGUACAUUUAUAAAUUCUUGUCCAGCUACUCUCUAUCCCAGCGAUCUUUUUACUCAUUGGAUUACCCUUGGGGUAUUCUAGUAGUUUUUUUAUUGAGCGACUAAAAGUGCGUAUCCAUGACACUCCUGCAACGUUGCACCCAUAAACAGAACCAUAUGUGGCGGUUGCCGUGAUUCUUUAUACAUAGAAACAUUUCCUCACUCACUUUACUCCAUACGUGUUACAACUUGAGGGGCAUUGUUGUAUCUACCCCCAGUCACAUCUGCACAUGUGCGGUCGCCAUCUUCUUCGCUACCACUGGCUUGCCCAGCUGUGUCUUACGUUCUGAGCUUUGUAUGAACUCACCAUCCAAAGGAAGUCAUUUGUGAAGCAGGAGACAAACCAAUGUGCAUCAUGUUUAAAUGUCUAAAAACAUGAAUUGUCAGUCUUGACAACCCUUAUCACAGUCCAACUGAUAUAGACUGGGAAAGACUGUUAAUUAUAAUUACAUAAAUUUCUGAGUAUAAAUUUAAUAGAAUAAUUCUAUUCUUUGGCGUGAAACAACUGGUGUUUGGUUAUAUGUGAGGUGCUUUCUUCCUGAAUGUUAUUCAGCCCGUGCUUGGUUGAGAGCUAGUCUGUGGUUUCUGCUUUGCACAGUAUUAGAACGGUCAUCACAUGGAAAAUUGCAGCUUUGCGUCAGUGGUGUUGGUCUGUGGUAAGCUGUGCUGGAUGUACCUCAGAUUGGACACUGGUAGGUCUCGCCUUCAACUUUUCACACAGCUGUGUCAGUUAAAUCACGGGCUAUUUAAGCGUUUCCCGGACAUGACAUCUUGGUGUGGUGUACUGGGUAAAGAGUUGGGCUUACAGCCCAAUGGUUGUAGGUUUAGAGCCCAGAACUGGGAACUAAACCUGUCAUUUUUGUGCACGCUAUUUAAUGAUACCUUAACUGCUUUAGAAAAUGUCCAACUGCAGUGGUAGGUAAUACAUAUGCAUAAAUUCUUAGUUUCCCUAGAUAAGGUUGUGUGCUAUGCAACAAAAAAAUGUAUAAAUCAUUUAAGCAAAACAUUAUUACAGAUGGGCUCACUGUAUAGCGUUCAUACCGUUGGUAACUGAUUGAUAGUCAUCUUGGCAUUGUUCAAAAAGUGUUGUGUCAAAAAUAGCUGGAAUGUAUGAACACCUGGCAAUGGAACAGGUUUGUUAUUGCAUUGUGUUGAAGGUAACAGUUGUGCUCACAUUUGAGAUGGUUUUGGGACAGGUGCUCUUACAGUAGGCCCAAAUGUUGAAGGGGUUGAGGUUAUGCAAACAAAGAUGCUCUGUACUAUCAAUUUCCUUUUACAGAACCGCAUUAAAGAGUUUUCACUCUGCUUUCGGACGGAAAGUGUAUGACUUGAACUUUGAUUCGAAAACCACACUGCAUGAGGCAUGCAAUGACAUACUGUACUGUAAUACCAUAGCAAUUUCAAGCAUGGAUUUGCCACAUUAAUAGUCUUUCCAAGCUUCACGGCAAAUGAGCAGCCUGUAUUUGCCAUGAAGUGGAUAGUAAAUAAUGACCCGACAUGCAGUAAAUGAAUUAAAAACCUCCAUGGACCAUAGGAGUGAUGCUACAAUUGCUUUAUCUUACUGUAAUGUGCAAUGAAAGCUUUCUACUUUGAUUUAAAUUAAAGCAGUUGCUUAAAUUGGUAGUGUAUUUGUUUUUUGGUUGAACAUACUAGUGGUAGUUGAUUUCAUGUAGUUGUAAAUAGCAUACAUUAUUUUGUUUUGUUACGAUAUGAAUAUUUAAGUAUCGCUUUAUAUUUUUGCGAUGUCUCAGCGAAAGAGCAUAGACUUGGAGUCAUGUUUUAGUUUUUGUAGGGUGAUUGUGGUUGUGUUUAUUAGCUAUGCUAAUGACAAAUUAACAUAACAAUAAAAACAAAUACAAAUAAUAAUAAUAAUAAUAAUAAUAAUAUAAAUAAAAGUUAUGCCAAAAAUUACAAAACAAUUUCCAUAGCUGCAAAUAUAUUUAGUCUAGUCUUAAUAAAUAGUCUUAGUGUCUCACAUUUUAGGAUGUUUAUGUCCUCUUUAUUAUGUUGACUAAGUAUUGCAAAUUUUGCUGUAUUGCUGUGUAAAGCAUCUUUUAAACUCAAACUAUCUGGAACAGAAGACUCCUGUGGAAUUUCCUCUAACAAAGAAGGAAUUUUUAGGAGCGCUAUGGGCCUGAAAAUAUGGAGCGGUUUUACUGCGUGUACAAAUGAAACAAACUUCAAACUCCAAACUCCAGUUUGUAGAAACAUAAGUACUGUAGAGCUGGAUAUGCAGACUGUAAUAUCAUUUGACAACCCACACACUUCCUGAGACCUACUGUUGUUCACAGUUGGAUCAGUUUUAAAAAAGGUUAGAAAUUUCACUCCUGCAAUGACAGUGUUGUCUGCGCACGUGGGGGAAAACUAAAAUUGUUACUGUCAUAUAUAUAUGUAUAUAUAUAUAUAGUUAAUAGUAGUAAUAAUGCUACAUAUAUAAAUGGUAAGCUUUAUGAUAUUUGAGACAAAUAUAUUUUUUCUUGAUUACGCUCUGGACUGUAUAAUUUUAGAUUAGUAAUUCAUAUGUGGUUAAAGUACAGAUUAUCAGAUUUUGUUAUUUAUCAUAAUGGCUUCAUUGGCUUUCAUUUGCACAACUCUGGUACGCAUGAUGACAAAUUCCAAUAACAGACUCCAAAGGCAAUGAAAAGCCUAGAACCAAGACUAGGUACUGAAAGCUCUCUUAUACCUGCACUAUAGAAGCAACUGAACAUAGCUGACUUAUCAGAAACACCCGUGAUACCAUUUGUCCAAAACAUUAUUGUACCCUGGAUGGGGGCAAUGUACUGCAUAAAAAGUGUUGUAAUUUCUACAUGGUGAAACCAAAGUGUAUAAAAAUACCCUUAAAUAAAAAUAGAAGCUGAGAAUGUGCUUUUUAACCACAUGUGAAUUGUUUGAGUACAAAUCUAAAAUAGUGAAGUACAGGGUCAAAUGAAGGAAAAAUAUGUAUUCGCCCCAAACAUUAUUAUAUUUUUCUCUCUUUCUAGUUAAAUACUUGGAAUAUGUUAUACGUCCAACAUACCAUAGCAGCUAUAUGCAGACUCCCCACUGGUAGAUUCUAACUGCAGUUAUGAGGCUGCUGUUAAACUGUGCUCAAACUAAUGUUAUAGAGCAUGCCAAGCAGCCAUGCUGAAGAGAUAAUAAAUCUCAGCCAUGGAAACCAUAAAAAGGCAGUCGUCCCUAUCGCUAAUAGACAUAUUUCACUGCAGUGAGGUGACAUCCCGACCUGUUGUUUCUUCUUUUUAUUUUUUAUUUUCUGAAGUAGCUGUCUUUGCUGUAAUGGUUACAGAUGAAUCUAAUUUGGCCCGUCUCCACUCAGAUCAGUCUCGGUCAGCUCUGAUGAAUGCGAGUGAAUUGGGGUGGGCUUUCAUUCAUCAUUAGCCUUGCAGUCAGAUGACAGUGGGGCCUGGGGUAUGUAGUGAAAUCACCCGCGGAUAGGCAGUAAUGACCCUCCCACACACACACACACACAAGUACACGCACGCACACAUGCACACACACACACACACACACACACACCCACACACAGACCACGCACACACACACACAUACACGCAAGCACGCAUACAGACACGCAUGCACACACACACACACACACACACACACACAAAUCUGGAUUCACCUAUAAUCUAUUAUUGAAAAGUAACAUGGUGAAUGUGCAACUAUUAUGUGAAAUAUGUGUCCGGGUGAACUACAAAUGAGCAAAUACUGUAGAACACAUUGACAUUUUUAGAACAAAUAUUGUAUAACAAAUAUAAGUUUCCAUUUAAAAACAUCAAAGGCUCAGUUAUGGAUAUAUUGUACAAACAUUUCAUGUUUUUUCAUAUGUUUAAAAUUCAUUAAUUUGAGUAUUGCACUCUGUUUAAAUAAUUCCGUGUGGAGCUGUUUAAAAAAAAGAUACAAAUGUUAUUUAGACUGAGUGGAAAAGAGUCCAUAUGACAGUUUGGGUUGUGGUCUAACCAGAAAUAUUGUGAUAAAAAUAAAAUUGUCACAGCUGUGUUUUGUGAUCUGCAUAA